RNAcentral lists this transfer RNA (72 nucleotides) under Myotis lucifugus (little brown bat). It matches the Rfam family "tRNA". Rfam says of the family: Transfer RNA (tRNA) molecules are approximately 80 nucleotides in length. Their secondary structure includes four short double-helical elements and three loops (D, anti-codon, and T loops). Further hydrogen bonds mediate the characteristic L-shaped molecular structure. tRNAs have two regions of fundamental functional importance: the anti-codon, which is responsible for specific mRNA codon recognition, and the 3' end, to which the tRNAs corresponding amino acid is attached (by aminoacyl-tRNA synthetases). tRNAs cope with the degeneracy of the genetic code in two manners: having more than one tRNA (with a specific anti-codon) for a particular amino acid; and 'wobble' base-pairing, i.e. permitting non-standard base-pairing at the 3rd anti-codon position. The record is from Rfam by way of RNAcentral. Lineage: Eukaryota; Metazoa; Chordata; Mammalia; Chiroptera; Vespertilionidae.
GCUGGUUUGGCUCAGUGGAUAGAGCGUCGGCUGCGGAUUGAAAGGUCCCAGGUUUGAUUCCUGGCAAGAGCA